UACGGAGGGUGCAAGCGUUAUCCGGAUUCACUGGGUUUAAAGGGUGCGUAGGCGGGCAGGUAAGUCAGAGGUGAAAUCCCAAAGCUUAACUUUGGAGCUGCCUUUGAUACUGCAAGUCUUGAGUUUGAGAGAGGGUAAUGGAAUAUCUGGUGUAGCAGUGAAAUGCGUAGGUAUCAGAUAGAACACCAAUGGCGAAGGCAGUUACCUGGCUCAAAACUGACACUAAAGCACGAAAGUGUGGGGAGCAAACAGG
RNAcentral lists this ribosomal RNA (253 nucleotides) under uncultured bacterium. Its description in RNAcentral is "partial 16S ribosomal RNA". It matches the Rfam family "Bacterial small subunit ribosomal RNA", at positions 524 to 776 of the family's 1533-position model. The record is from RNAcentral.